RNA transcript from Onychostoma macrolepis, 3857 nucleotides. It is a transcript of the gene named E3 ubiquitin-protein ligase SH3RF3-like, with no coding region annotated. The transcript has 10 exons. NCBI's taxonomy places the organism in Eukaryota, Metazoa, Chordata, Actinopteri, Cypriniformes, Cyprinidae. The record is from RefSeq and is a predicted model, not a curated record.
UGUGUGUGUGUGUGUGUGUGACACAGAGAGAGCAGCAGUGCAGACGCGCUCCGUCGCGCUCAUGUCUCAAGCCGUUCUCCGUACAUUACUAUGACCAUAUGCGUGCCAAGUUGACUCGCGUCGCCUGCGCGUCGACGACAGCGUUGCGUACCAGAGGAAAACAUGGACGAGUCGUCUUUGCUGGAUCUGCUGGAGUGCUCUGUGUGUCUGGAGCGGCUGGACACCAGCGCCAAAGUGCUGCCCUGUCAGCACACCUUCUGCCGCCGCUGCCUGGAGAACAUCGUGAGCUCCAGACACGAGCUGCGCUGCCCAGAGUGCCGCAUCCUGGUGGACUGCGCAGUCGACGAUCUGCCUGCUAACAUCCUCCUGGUGCGUCUUCUGGACGGGAUUAAACAGCGUCCGCGGAACGGAGGAGGGAGAGCGGCGCUGGCGGGAUGCGCGGCCGGCGGAUCGGCUUCGCCCGCGGGGACAGCGGUGCGGGAUCUGCCCGUCGCCACGCGGAGCUCCCCGGUCAAGAACGUUCCUCAGCUGCCGUGUGGAAAAGCGCUUUACAGCUACGAGGGCAAAGAACCGGGCGACCUGAAGUUCAGCAAAGGCGAUAUCAUCAUCCUGCGGCGGAAGGUGGACGAGAACUGGUUCCACGGCGAGCUAAACGGCAGCCACGGAUUCCUUCCAGCCAGUUACAUCCAGUGCAUCCGGCCGCUGUCCCAGACGCCGCCGCAGGGGAAAGCACUCUACGACUUCGAGGUCAAAGACAAAGACCAGGACAAAGACUGCCUGACCUUCACUAAGGACGAGAUUCUCACCGUCAUACGAAGAGUGGACGAUAACUGGGCAGAAGGCAUGCUGGGAGAUAAGAUUGGGAUUUUUCCUAUUUUAUACGUGGAGCUGAAUGAAACGGCGAAGCAGCUGAUGGAGAUGGACAAACCGUCGGCGAGCGCAGAAGCCGUCAGCUGUAACGGGAACGGCGCGCACAGACACGCGGAGGGGAAGAAGAACGCCAAGAAGCGGCACUCGUUCACGGCGCUCAGCAUGACGCAGCGCUCGGCGCAGGUCCUGGGAAACAACCGGCACUCGAUGGAGAUCAGCGCACCUGUGCUCAUCAGCUCCUCGGACCCCCGCGCCGCCGCUCGCAUCACAGACGGCCCACACCUGUCCUCCAGCGCACCUGCCACACAGGACUCUUCAAUCACAGCAAACACUGGAGCUUCAGUUCCGCCGCGCCUCACGUCAACAACCGGAGAGCUGCUCGCCGCCGCUAAAGUCCAGCUGCCUCUCAACAUAUAUCUGGCCAUGUACGCUUACAAGCCGCAGAAGGCAGAUGAGCUGGAGCUGAGGAAGGGUGAGAUGUACCGUGUGAUGGAGAAGUGUCAGGACGGCUGGUUCAAAGGCACGUCACUGCGCUCCGGAGCGUCUGGAGUUUUCCCAGGAAACUACGUCACGCCCGUCUCCAGGGCUCCGUUCGCCGUCGGUCAGACGCGCUCGUGUCUCUCUGGAGCGGCUCAGGCUCAGGCUCCUGGAUCUCCGGGCUCCGCCGGUCCCUCCAGUCCGGUCCUGAUGGCGUCUGCGUCUGCGUCCCGCUCCAGCACGCCUCUCAGCAGCCCGUCGUCUCCGCAGCUGCAUCUGAAGAACUGCCUGCGCAUGUGCAGCCAGCAGACGGUCAAUCAGGCGCGCUCCGCCAUGCAGCUGGUGCACAGUCCUCCGGCGAGCAGCAGCAGUCCGUCUCGAUCCCCGGCGCGGCCCCUGUCUCACGCUCGGCCCCUGAGGCCCCUGAGCUCCAUCACGCCUCCCAACGUCAGCGUGGCACAUCUGAACGGAGCGGAGCCGCAGCCGUCCUCGCCCGCACACGCAGACGCAGACGCAGACGCAGGGCUGCACAAACUAGACGACAAGAAGCUGGAGAAGAAAGAGAAGAAGAGCAGCGGUCUCCUCAAGCUUCUCUCCGGAGCCGCAGCCAAGAAGAAGUCUCGCUCUCCGCCGUCCGUGUCUCCGACACACGAGUCGUCCGGUCACAGCCGCGCCGGAUCCUGCCCCAUCGAGAGCGAGAUGCAGGGGGCGAUGGGGAUGGAGCCGCUGCACAGAAAGUCCGGCUCGCUGGACCUUAACUUCUCGGUGUCUCCGCCGGUGCGACAGCCCUGCUCCUCCUCGCCGCUCGCCGUCCGGCCCGAGCCCAAGCCCCUGUCCCGAGAGAGGUGAGUCCCGCUGACCACAUCCACCCGCUUCAACAUCUCAGUCAGGGCUGGGAAAGUUACUCUAAAAACCUUACUUGCUCAACGACUCCCAAACGAUUCGCUCAAUGAUUCAUUUUUCCAAACCCCGCCUCUGCGUGACGCUAAUCUGCUGUGAUUGGUCGAUUGGUCACAGUGUUUGUGAGCCAGUGCUGCUUUGUGUACAGUGUUACCGGGGAAACAGCUCCAAAAGCAGCACCUAGUGGCAAAGAAUGAAUUUGCAUUUUCAUUCAGACCAGCAAGCCAACGGCAAUAUGCUAAUGUUUCAUUUUGACAUCAAUGUGAAACGGCUUGGGAUUCGUUUUAAAAACGACUCGUUUGAAUGAUUCAGAGUCGACUCUUUCUUGUGAGAGACAAUAACUUUAUACACGGUGCACUUUCAGAUUUAAAAGUUUGCAGGAUGUUUUCAUUCAUUUAGAGCUGUGUUACACACUGCAUGAAAGAUCAUCUUCAAAAAUACAUAAUAGGGGCACUUUAACAUAUAUGUACAGAUUGCACAACAGCACUCAUUAUGUCUAUUCUUAUAAUACACAUUUGAAUGCAUGAAUUUAAGACAUGUAGCAAGCUUUUUUUUUUUAAAUGCAAUUUUAUGCAUUUUAGUUAAAUAAAUAAAAGAAAAAGAAAUGCAGUUUAAGCACCAGGUUUGUUUUUGAACAGUGCUUUACAGCAUGAUGCGGUUUGGUUUGUAUCUAUUCAUCGCUGCACCCUCUUGUGGACUGAUGCUGUAACAUUUGAUGCCUUUACUAGUAUUGAAAUAUGUAAAUUAGAAUUCAAAUAUAAUCAUUCAAAUAUUUAAUAUUCAUACUUUACUAGUCAAAAGUUUUGAAUAAUUUGGAAUAUUUUUCCAAAUAAAUAAAUUUAUUUAUUUAAAUUUUCUAAAUAAAAGAAGUUUCUUCUGCUCCCCAAGGCUGCAUUUAUUUGAUGUGAUGUGAAUAUCUAUUAAACUGUAAUUGAUUGCUGAGUCAGUAUCUCCUGAUCUGGGCUGUCUAAAUAAAAUCACAACUUACAAUAUUCAUCCAAUUCAAGAUCUAAAUGCACAUUUGAAUGCAUGAAUUUAAAGGGUAAUGAAACCCUAAAACACAUUUUUUAAAGAUAUGCACAUCAGUGAAAACACUAAAAGCACUCAUAAUGUCUGUUAUUAAGGGGAAAGUGGUUAUUUUUUCAUGUUUUGGAGCAAUUUUGUUCUUCCGGUUCAUAUGCAUUAAUUUGCAGUGGUGAUUGGCUGCCAGCUUUUUUCAGUAUUAUUCAUGAGAAUGAACUCUUAUGAUCCGAUCACUUUACUGUAUUAUGCAUGAGGUUGUAUUACAGUGGAGAAUUCAAAUCUAAAUGCACAUUUGAAAAAAAUGCCUAAGUUAAAUCUUUUCAUUUUUGCAAUUUUAUGCAUUUUAGUUAAAACAUACAGUAAAUGCACUUUAAGCACCAGGUUUGCCUUUGAACAAUACAUUACAACAUGAUGCUGUUUGAUUUGCAUGUAUCCGUUGCGCCCUCUUGUGGACUGUUUGAUGUGUUUACUAGUAUUGAAAUAUAUCAUUUAACUCAUAACUCAUAUUUCAUCAUUCAAUUUUUGAAAAUAUUUCAUAUUUAUACACUACCAGUCAAAAGUUUGGUAUAAUUUGGAUUUUCUUUUAA